AACGAACGCUGGCGGCAUGCCUAACACAUGCAAGUCGAACGAGACCUUCGGGUCUAGUGGCGCACGGGUGCGUAACGCGUGGGAACCUGCCCUUAGGUUCGGAAUAACUCCCCGAAAGGGGUGCUAAUACCGGAUAAUUUCUUCGGACCAAAGAUUUAUCGCCUUUGGAUGGGCCCGCGUUGGAUUAGCUAGUUGGUAGGGUAAAAGCCUACCAAGGCGACGAUCCAUAGCUGGUCUGAGAGGAUGAUCAGCCACACUGGGACUGAGACACGGCCCAGACUACUGCGGGAGGCAGCAGAGGGGAAUAUUGGAAAAUGGGCGAAAGCAUGAACCAGCAAUGCCGGGUGAGUGAUGAAGGCCUUAGGGUUGUAAAGCUCUUUUACCCGGGAUGAUAAUGACAGUACCGGGAGAAUAAGCACCGGCUAACUCCGUG
This 433-nucleotide ribosomal RNA is filed under the name uncultured bacterium. RNAcentral's name for it is "partial 16S ribosomal RNA". It matches the Rfam family "Bacterial small subunit ribosomal RNA", at positions 29 to 507 of the family's 1533-position model. The record is from RNAcentral.